Molecule: ribosomal RNA, 292 nt
Filed under: uncultured bacterium
Lineage: Bacteria
Description: partial 16S ribosomal RNA
Source: RNAcentral
GGACUACAGGGGUUUCUAAUCCUGUUUGCUCCCCACGCUUUCGAGUCUUAGUGUCAGAAACCGUCCAGAUAGCCGCCUUCGCCACUGGUGUUCUUCCCAAUCUCUACGUAUUUCACCACUACACUGGGAAUUCCACUAUCCUCUCCGGUCCUCUAGCCGCCCAGUCCUGAAUGCAUUUCUUGAGUUGAGCUCAAGGCUUUCACAUCCAACUUGGACAACCACCUACACUCGCUUUACGCCCAGUAAUUCCGAACAACGCUAGCCCCCUUCGUCUUACCGCGGCUGCUGGCAC